CCGAGAGGGAGCACCGCCUGCAGCUCUCCAGACCCCAGGAAGCUGGUGCCGGGGUUGUGGCAUAGUCCUGGGUCCAGUGCUCUCUGUGCUGUUUUCUGAAUGCAGAGCAGCUUUAGGAUGGAAAACCAGAGGCUUGUGCAGUGACCUGGACUUCCUGGAUCAAGUACAAAACCAGUGGUACCACUGGGAAGAGAGCCCAGGAAUCCUGACUUUGUGUUUGCCUCUGCUUACCUGGAAUUUGACUGAGCAUGAAUGCAGCCAAAAGUCUAUUGCUCCCCAAUAUACGUUCACAGGAAAGAUGAGGAACCACUGACCAUGAAAUGGAGGCCAAAGGAACCGAGCAUCAUAAUCAAGUAGGUUGAGACUUUCCAGAAGAGUUAGAACUGAGAG
Long non-coding RNA from Alligator sinensis (Chinese alligator), 390 nucleotides. RefSeq lists it as uncharacterized. The record is from RefSeq and is a predicted model, not a curated record. The transcript has 3 exons. NCBI's taxonomy places the organism in Eukaryota, Metazoa, Chordata, Crocodylia, Alligatoridae.